GGAAUUGUCGAUGGAACUGGGAGUAUUGGUGCUGCCGUGGGCCAGUAUCUGGUGUCUUUGAUCCAAGACAACCUAGGAUGGAUGUGGGUUUUCUACUUUUUCAUUCUCAUGACAAGUUGUACAAUUCUGUUUUUAUCU
Peromyscus leucopus (white-footed mouse) is the source of this 138-nucleotide long non-coding RNA. RefSeq lists it as uncharacterized. The record is from RefSeq and is a predicted model, not a curated record. Lineage: Eukaryota; Metazoa; Chordata; Mammalia; Rodentia; Cricetidae. The transcript is spliced from 3 exons.